RNAcentral lists this ribosomal RNA (441 nucleotides) under uncultured bacterium. RNAcentral's name for it is "partial 16S ribosomal RNA". It matches the Rfam family "Bacterial small subunit ribosomal RNA", at positions 338 to 795 of the family's 1533-position model. The record is from RNAcentral.
CCUACGGGUGGCUGCAGUGGGGGAUAUUGCACAAUGGGGGGAACCCUGAUGCAGCGACGCCGCGUGGGUGAAGGAGCGUUUCGGCGCGUAAAGCCCUAUCGGUAGGGAAGAAGGAGGACGGUACCUUACUAAGAAGCCUCGGCUAACUACGUGCCAGCAGCCGCGGUCAUACGUAGGGGGCAAGCGUUAGCCGGAUUUACGGGGUGUAAAGGGGGCGCAGAGGGCAGCGCAAGCCAGGAGUGAAAGCCCGGGGCCCAAACCCGGAACUGCUGUUGAAACUGGGAGGCUGGAGUGCAGGAGGGGGAGGCGGAAUUCGUGGUGUAGCGGUGAAAUGCGUAGAUAUCAGGAGGAACGCCGGUGGCGAAGGCAGCCUGCUGGACUGCGACUGACGUUGAGGCCCGAAAGCGUGGGGAGCAAACAGGAUUAGAUACCCCGGUAGUC